CCUCUUUAAAAAGUUUUAGUUCCCUGUUCUUUGUUUCUUAAGACCAACUUCCUUGUACUUCCUUGUCUCCUAGCUACCUGUUCUGUAAACAGCCUUCCUGCCUUUGCCAUGCUCAGACAAGUCCAGAUAUGCCUUCCCAGCUAGUAAUGGACAGUCCCUCUUCCUUCCCACCUAAUAGACCCUAUUCAAUUUUAAACCUUAGCCAAUCAAGUUAGCUUAGAUUGUGAGGUCCAACCCCAGCCAAUGGGGAAAGGAUACAGAAGUGCUAGGAACUGCCUUAGGGAGUAAAAACCCCUGCCCUACCCUGCUUUGUGUGCUUUUGCGAUUGUGACUGCUGCAAGCUGCACCCUUCUGCAGAAGUAAAUUUGUCUUGCUGAGGAAUUUUCUGCCUACGUGCUGUUUUUAUUUGAGGCACCAGGCACUUGUUUCUAACAAAUUUGGGGGUUCGUCUGGGAUUCCCAUUCUCCUCCUAGGAGGGGUCUCAGAUCAUCUCUCGUGAGGAGACGCAGCCCACUGCUUUGUUGAGGUGGCCUCAAGGGUAAGGGAUGGUGUGAUGAAUAAACCUGGAUUCCAGUAAUGCGGGAAGAAAAGGCCUACAGAUACCGUGGUGACCAGGUAACUCUGUGCACAGACCAAGGAAAUUCAAAUGCAGAAAAAAACCCAUGCCCCACACCAGAAGAACUGGGGCAUAGAUGUUCAGAUAAACUCCCUUUCAAACCGGAAGACACCUUUUUGUAGAUGGUUCUUCUCAAGUAACAAAAGGGAAAAGGCAUAACGGGUACUCAGAAGUAGACGGAGACAUCCUACCUAAUGACUGGUCUGAGCAAACGACUCAAGGCCUCCUAGCACAAACUCCAAUCCUUGAAUUCCCAGUUCAUCAACACCAGCCUGGAGAUCACAUCCUUAUCAGAAGUUGGAAAGAGGGAAAGCUCGAACCCACUUGGGAAAGACCUUACCUAGUGCUCCUCACAACUGAGACAGCAGUCCAGACCGCUGAGAGAGGAUGGACCCAUCACACCCGAGUACCCUCUCCAAAGUACCUACCCUGGACAAAGAAAUGAAGCUGGCAUUUGGGAACUAAAUGUAUCUUGAGAUAGUGCAUCUGGAGCUGGUUCCUUUCGGCAGGUUCUUGGUCUAGCUGACUUCAAGAAUGGAGCUGCGGACCUUCGCGAAUCUGGAAGUUCGACUGUUGCAUCUCCCUUGGGCUGAUGUUGCUGACUGCACACUUGAAGUUCUGUUCAACACACUACUCUGUCCUGUGGUCGUCCUGAGAAUUGCCAGCUGAAUCCAGAGACUGGCUCAGGCUCAGGAUUGAUCCCUUUGGUCAGACUGCAGCCUCUGGAGUUCGGCGAACAUAUCUGACCUGUCCCUGAACAUUCUCCCUUCUGCCUCUUUGCGCUGUUCUGUCUUCCCACACCACGCUUCCACACACCCCACGCUGACACACUGAGACCCUGCCCGGCCCCAGGCCCAACUCAGAGGCCACCCAGCAAGGAACCACUUUGGCAGAAAGCCUACCAUCUCUCCACGUGACAGUCCUUUGUAAGCACCUUCGAUUUUCUUUAGCACAUUCUACCUUAUUUUGCUGGUCUAAAGUAGUAACAGUCCAGGGCGGCCAAUGUUUAUUGAAAGCUUUGAGUGUGCCAGUCACCAUGUAACGGGCUUACAUGCCGUUGUGGUUUGAAUGUUUGUGUCUCUCCAAAAUUCAUGUUGGAGCUUUGGGAGGUGAUUAGGCUAUGAGGGCUCCACCCUCGUGAAUGGGAUUAAUGCCCUUAUAAGGGAGGCUCCAGAAAGCUGUUUGGCUUUUCUGUCUUUUCUGUCACAUGAGAACACAUUGUCCCUUCCGUGUCUUCCAUCACAGGAGGACACCCUAGAUGGCACCACCUAUGAGGAGGGAACCCUCCCCACACACUUAACCUGCUGGCACCUUGAUCUCGGACUUUCUAGGCUUCAAAGGAUAUAAAUUUCUGUACUUUAUAAAUUGUCCAGUCUCGGGUAUUUUAUUAAAGCAUACAAACAGACUUGUAUUCUCUCCUUUAUCUUGCAAACCUCUAUAGCCAUGUCCAUUUUAUUGAGGCUCAGAGAUGCUAAGGAGCCCAAGGUCACACAGCUAGUAAGGAACAGGGCCAGGCAUUCAUUCAUUCAUGAAUUCAUUAAUUCAUUCAAUCAAUAUUUACUUAUUUAUUAAAGGCCUAUAAUGUGCUAAUCAUAGUCUAGAUGUUGGGAAAAUAACAGUAAUCAAGUCAAAGUGCUCGUACACAAGGAGCUACCAUUCUAGCGGGAAGAAACAUAUCCUAAAGAAAAAUACAAGUCAAUAAAUACUGUGUCAGGUGGUGAUAAAUGCUAUGGGGAAGAAAGAGGGUAAGUGAUAGCUUAAGUGGGUCUGCUGUUUAUAUAGGGUGGUCAAGGUGAUCUGGCAACAUUUGAGCAGAGAUCCAAAGGAAGUGAGUCAUGCAGAGAUCUGCAGGAAAAAAACAUCAAAGAGGUGGGAACAGCCUAUGCAAAGGCCCUGGGGUGGGCACAUCUUUGACAUGUUAGAGAAGCAGCAAGGAGUUUAGUGUGGCUGGAGCUGAGUGAGGGGAGAGAAACUGAGGUGACAGGGGUUAGAUCAUGGAGGGCCUUGCGGUUAUGGCAGAAACUUCGGUUUUGACUUUUACGAAACAGGGAGCCACUAAAGGACAGCUCCCGGAACCCAUGUCCUUAAUUGCUAUGCUAUACUACUGAUGGACCACAUGAAUGAAUGGCAAAAGGUACUUGGGGACUUUUUCUCAUUAAAACCAGCAGAAUGGUGGCCAGAGAGUCUAGAAACAACCCAUGGAAGGGCAAGAUGUGAGUUAACAAGGAGGGCUAAUUGGGGAGGGGGGAAGUGCCCAUCGCCUUGGUUGCCGGGAGUCUCUGUGGUUCCCACAGCACAGGACUGUGUGGGGCCCUGUGAUGUGUGGGGCCCCAGUGGGUCCUCUACCUGGAUUUGCAGAGCAGAUUUUCCAGGCCUGCCCCAGAUGGGCCUCAGCCCUUCCAUGAAAGGUGUCCUUUGCUAACAAGAGGCAGAGAGAAAAAGCCAAUGUUUGCAAUAACUCACCAGAGAGAAAUGAAAAUUGUGCCCAGACUGGAAAAUAACUCAUCUGAAAGUGACACAUUCGCCUCCUAUAUAUAUAUAUAUAUACACAUAUAUAAAACUUUUUCUUUUCUUUUUCCUUCUCAUUUGAAGGAAGGCAGAGCCUUCUCACAUACACUGCUUUACAGCAGGAAAAUCUACUCCGCAAACUUCUGAAAUUCCUGUCCUUAUUCCUGUCACAAUUCUCUCAGAGGCAAAAGGACAUCAUAUCUGGGGAGGUGGCCAUCUGAUGGCAGGACAGCAAGCGUGGGCCCUGGCAUUCCCAGGACAAUCCCAAUAGCAAGUAUUCUUCUGAUUGGCUGCCCCCCCUACCCCGCCCCACUGCCAACUAACCAGCUAUUCUCAAACUUGGGAGUGCAUACGUUAAAAUGCAGAUUCCGGGAACUCUGAUUCGGGAAGUCUGGGAGGAGGCUCGGACACUGCAUUUUAAAUAGAGAAUCUCCAAUGAUUCUGAUGCAGGCUGUGUAAGAAGUACUUCCCCAAACCACAGGAAUAGUCCCAGUAGCCCCAGCCUUCUGCAUCUACGCUUAAAGGAUGAAGUGAUCCCAAUCCUUUCUCGGACCACAGAGAGGCACGUUUUAGCUCCUGGCAGAGGUCAGAAUGCUCCUGGCCAAAUCGGAGUCGUGGAGAAUCUUGAAAUCCCAGUCCUUGCCCCUGGCCAUCCCAACUCUCUUCAUUUAUCUUCCUGACUUGAGCUUCUGGACUCUGCCCAGCAUUUGCUGUCUGGGUCAUAGCCAGGAAGGCCCUGGUGCUGGGGCAUGGAGCUACCCUGGGCCUUCGAUACAAGCCAUAGCUGGAGAGGGAGCCAGAACUUGCCUAAGCCUCUGAUCAUGAAGUAUAACAGAAAUGUCUAAUUGUGAUUAUGAAACACUGUUUCACAUCUUAAUUUGUUGAAGCUACAUGUUGACAGUAGGUACUCCCUUAGCAGGGGGAAACAAAAGGACCCCGCUCUAUUAUUACUGUAAUUUACUGGAAUAAGGAGCCACCAGAUGCAGCCCUGGCUCACACCCCUCCCUCAUGAAUUACAAAGCUGGUCUGAGGGCCCUGUCAGUUGCUGGCUUUGGGAACCAACAUUGCUAUUUAAAAUCCUCCUGUGGUGCAUUCCACUUCGUUGAGAUCUCUCCUCAGACGCCAUCUUCCUUACCCACUGGUCUAAAUGACUCUCUUCCCCAGUGCCCCUCUCUUGUUAUUUCUAACCUCUUAGCCUACUUUAUUUCCUUCAGAGCAUCCACCACUAUUUGAAUUACAAAUUGAUUUGUUUGCUUGCUACUUUAUCGUCUGCCUUAAUCCAUCUAGAAGGUAAGUUCUUCAAGAGCUAUGAUCUUGUCAUGUUCAACACCGUAUUUUGAUGCCUUGCACAUAACAGGCACUCAACUGAUAGUUUCUGAAUGAAUCAAUCAAUGAUAAAUGAAUGAAUGUUACAACGCUCUGAGGGCCCUGGAGUCAUCUCUAACUGCAUGAUGCUCUACUUAUUGGAUCCAGCGGUCUUUGGGGACUAAGCAGAUACACAAAAAAUAACAACAGCUGCUUUUUUUUUUUCUUUUG
Long non-coding RNA from Cercocebus atys (sooty mangabey), 4660 nucleotides. RefSeq lists it as uncharacterized. The transcript is spliced from 6 exons. Lineage: Eukaryota; Metazoa; Chordata; Mammalia; Primates; Cercopithecidae. The record is from RefSeq and is a predicted model, not a curated record.